GCCGAGGCGCGUGGUGUAAAGCACGAUGAGGGGCGCGGCGAUCGUCGGCAGGAUGUGCCGGAGAAUAAUGUGCCAGUUACCGGCGCCGAAGGAAUGGCCCGCCUGCACGUACAGUUGCUCGCGCGCCGACAGGACCGCGCCGCGUACGAUGCGCGAACCGGCAACGCCGUAGAGGAUGCCGAGGAGGGCGAUGAUCUGCACGAUCCCGGGGCCGAGAA
This 218-nucleotide unclassified non-coding RNA is filed under the name Hevea brasiliensis (rubber tree). Lineage: Eukaryota; Viridiplantae; Streptophyta; Magnoliopsida; Malpighiales; Euphorbiaceae. The record is from RNAcentral.